Molecule: long non-coding RNA, 1566 nt
Organism: Ictalurus punctatus (channel catfish)
Lineage: Eukaryota; Metazoa; Chordata; Actinopteri; Siluriformes; Ictaluridae
Source: Ensembl
AUGUGAUGGGGAACUGAAUUCCAGAGCUUAGGGGCAAUGUGACUUAAGGCUCUUCCAUCCAAGGUGCUAAAGUUCAUGUCCAGUAUUGCUAAUAGACCUGCUGAGGAGGAUCGCAGUAAGUGGGGAAGGGUGCAGUUCUCCAAGAGGUUAGUGAGGCAACAGGAAGCCAGUGAAGCUGGAUGAGCAGAGGUGUUACAUGGCUGGUUGACAUUUUACGCCGUGCGAGAGAGAUCCAGCGGAUUAAAACGAGGGAUUUGACCAUCUCCGUUUCCCCUGACUACACAGCCAGGACAGCCGGGCCCGGGCCGCGUUUAACGAGGUUCGGCGUCAACUUCGUGGUAUUGAGGGCGCUCGCUAUGGAAUACUUCACCCAGCUCGGCUUCGCAUUACAUAUAACGGUGUUCAGAAGGACUUUAUUUCAGCGGAGGAAGCAGGAGACUACGUUAAACCCUUGAUAUCGGGGUGAACUGCAUCACCUAUAUAGUGGAGUUUUUCUCACUUUUAUUCUUUUUUUGCACUCGGCCUUCCAGCUCUACAGAAGUCGGAUUCUUAUUGAAGAUAUUGUCGGUGCAUUACUUCGUCUAGAUUUUGUGGACUUCUCUUAAAUUUACUUCUGUAUUAAUGUGCUUCUCUGUUUUGAUGCUCUGACUGGGUUAGAGUUUAUUUCAUUUUAUUAAUGUUGUUUCCUCAUCUUUACGUGCUACACUGUUAUAUUAUUUGUUACAAGUCUUUAAAAGGUAAGGACAUUAUAUUUGUUAAAGUGCGCAGACUAUUUAUCAGAUUUGAAGUCAGUAGGGGACUUUUCUCUUACUGGGAUUUUUUUUUGUUUAGGUAAUUUAGUUCGGUUUACUCAUUGAGUUGUUUUCACAUUGUGGACAACUCUUGGUGGGAAACACUGCUGUCUCCCUUUGUUUUAUGGAGACUUUGGGUGUGUUGGGGGCGGGGGUCCCACUCCGGCUGGGACAGGCAGGCCAUUAAGAUUUAUUUGUUGGAAAGUCAGAAGUAAUCCUGCCAAGAGAUCUAAGGUUUCUUACAUAUUUGAAACGUCUUCCACUCUAACUUUAAUUUGAAAGUAGGAGGGGUCGCUAUUUUAAUUGACAAAGGGUUUUCGUCCACUAACGUUAUCGCUGAUGCGAACGGUAGAUAUAUUAUAGUUGCUGGUACUCUAAUGCAAAGACAGGUAUUGUAUACACUCCUAACUUAGAUGAUUUUUUAUUUAUUUAUUUAUUUAUUUAUUUAUUUAUUUAUUCUAAAAAGUAUUUAUUUAUUUAUUUAUUAUAAAUGGCAUCCCUUUGUUGUAUACUUUAUGGAGUUACAGACACUUCCCACUUAAUUUUUUGUGCCUGUUUUUGGGUUUUAUAAUAUUUAUAUAACCAGCGACAUUUAGGGGGGGGCUUUUAAUUUUGUUUUCCUUUGUUGUUUUUUUUUCUUCUUCUCAAUGAAAUAUUUGGGAAAGGGAAGGGAGGAGAGAAGAGAAAAGGUAAAUGAAUCACAUGAAUAUGAAUCACAUGAAAAUGAAUCACAUGUAAAUGAAUCAUAUGAAAAUGAAUAAAUAAAUUAAAGCAC